RNAcentral lists this ribosomal RNA (381 nucleotides) under uncultured archaeon. RNAcentral describes it as "bacterial SSU rRNA". It matches the Rfam family "Archaeal small subunit ribosomal RNA", at positions 345 to 727 of the family's 1478-position model. The record is from RNAcentral.
AACCUUUACACUACGCGCAAGCGUGAUAAGGGGAUCCUGAGUGCUUAUGCACUGCAUAGGCUUUUGCUAACGGUAAAUACGUUAGCGAAUAAGUGGUGGACAAGACUGGUGCCAGCCGCCGCGGUAAUCCCAGCACCACGAGUGGGGAUCGCAAUUAUUUGGCCUAAAGCGCUCGUAGCCGGUUAUGAAAAUCUCUUGUGAAAUCGUUGCGCUUAACGUAACGGCGAGCAGGAGAGACUACAUGACUAGGGACUGGGAGGCGUCAAAGGUAUUCCUAGGGGAGCAGUAAAAUGCUAUAAUCCUGGGAGGACCACCUGUGGCGAAGGCGUUUGACGAAAACAGGUCCGACGGUGAGGGGCGAAAGCUAGGGGAGCGAUCCGG